GGCCAGACUCCUACGGGAGGCAGCAGUGGGGGAUAUUGCACAAUGGGGGGAACCCUGAUGCAGCGACGCCGCGUGGGUGAAGAAGCGCCUCGGCGCGUAAAGCCCUGUCAGCAGGGAAGAAAAUGACGGUACCUGAAGAAGAAGCCCCGGCUAACUACGUGCCAGCAGCCGCGGUAAUACGUAGGGGGCAAGCGUUAUCCGGAUUUACUGGGUGUAAAGGGGGCGCAGACGGCGAUGCAAGCCAGGAGUGAAGGCCCAGGGCCCAACCCCGGGACUGCUCUUGGAACUGCGCGGCUGGAGUGCAGGAGGGGCAGGCGGAAUUCCUGGUGUAGCGGUGAAAUGCGUAGAUAUCAGGAGGAACACCGGUGGCGAAGGCGGCCUGCUGGACUGCGACUGACGUUGAGGCCCGAAAGCGUGGGGAGCAAACAGGAUUAGAUACCCCAGUA
This 446-nucleotide ribosomal RNA is filed under the name uncultured bacterium. RNAcentral's name for it is "partial 16S ribosomal RNA". It matches the Rfam family "Bacterial small subunit ribosomal RNA", at positions 329 to 792 of the family's 1533-position model. The record is from RNAcentral.